AAGGGGACACAGGAUGAAUGCGAACUAGUUUUGUUAUUGUACUUUUGAUGAAAAGUGACUUUCUAGACAUAAAAUGUCACUUUUUUCACCUUAUCAUACUUUUUCAUCAACUUUUGCAUUUUAAUGUAAACAAUCAUAUUUCCUAAUAUUUUGGGUCAGAAACAUUUCAUAGUACUACAUUAUGUCUAAAUAUGUGAAAAGAAUCAAAUUGGAGUAAGUCGGGCAACUGAUUAUAUGAGUUUGUUAGAAACACCACUUUCCUUUGCUCCUAGCGCCUUCUCGUUCGCUGUAUAGCGUUUUGAGCGGAUAAAGAGCACAGGUGUGUAAGGGGACACAGGAUGAAUGGGAACUAGUUUUGUUAUUGUACUUUUGAUGAAAAGUGACUUUCUAGACAUAAAAUGUCACUUUUUUCACCUUAUCAUACUUUUUCAUCAACUUUUGCAUUUUAAUGUAAACAAUCAUAUUUCCUAAUAUUUUGGGUCAGAAACAUUUCAUAGUACUAUAUUAUGUCUAAAUAUGUGAAAAGAAUCAAAUUGGAGUAGGUCGGGCAACUGAUUAUAUGAGUUUGUUAGAAAAACCACUUUCCUUUGCUCCUAGCGCCUUCUCGUUCGCUGUAUAGCGUUUUGAGCGGAUAAAGAGCACAAGUGUGUAUGGGGACACAGGAUGAAUGGGAACUAGUUUUGUUAUUGUACUUUUGAUGAAAAGUGACUUUCUAGACAUAAAAUGUCACUUUUUUCACCUUAUCGUACUUUUUCAUCAACUUUUGCAUUUUAAUGUAAACAAUCAUAUUUCGUAAUAUUUUGGUUCAGAAACAUUUCAUAGUACUAUA
Long non-coding RNA from Ictalurus furcatus (blue catfish), 829 nucleotides. RefSeq lists it as uncharacterized. Lineage: Eukaryota; Metazoa; Chordata; Actinopteri; Siluriformes; Ictaluridae. The transcript has 2 exons. The record is from RefSeq and is a predicted model, not a curated record.